UGCCAUGAUUAAAAAAGUAAAGGAUUUUUUUGGAUAUGGCCUUAACGUACCACCCUUUCAAGAACGCAAAAGCCCUAUUAUGGAAAAACAUCAUCAUAGCUUUCUUUUGGAAUCUGUGGAAAGAAAGAAAUUAGAGAACAUUUGCAGAAAAAACACAGACCUACACAAAACUUUUCAAAAAUGUAGUUUACUAAGCUAUAUGUUGGUGUAAACGGUCUAAUAUUUUUACUUCCUAUAGUUAUACCUCCCUCAUUGCAAAUUGGGAAUGUCUUUUGUAAGCACCAUGAUCAUACAUCCCUUUUGUAAAUUUCAAUCAUCAAUGAAAUUGUCUCUUAAAAAAAAA
Long non-coding RNA from Cucurbita maxima (winter squash), 343 nucleotides. RefSeq lists it as uncharacterized. The transcript has 3 exons. The record is from RefSeq and is a predicted model, not a curated record. Lineage: Eukaryota; Viridiplantae; Streptophyta; Magnoliopsida; Cucurbitales; Cucurbitaceae.